This is a non-coding RNA of Pangasius djambal, 72 nucleotides long. NCBI's taxonomy places the organism in Eukaryota, Metazoa, Chordata, Actinopteri, Siluriformes, Pangasiidae. The record is from the annotation of a GenBank genome assembly.
UCCCCAGAGGACUAGUGGUUAGGCCUUGGCACUCUCACUGCCGCGGCCCGGAUUCAAUUCCCAUACAGGGAA